Non-coding RNA from Mycena leptocephala, 92 nucleotides. NCBI's taxonomy places the organism in Eukaryota, Fungi, Basidiomycota, Agaricomycetes, Agaricales, Mycenaceae. The record is from the annotation of a GenBank genome assembly.
GGCCCGUGGAAUGCGGUAUGCAUCUGCUUGAUGUUAUACCGUUCAAUAUACAGUAUGCGCAGACAGCCCCGGUUCGACUCCGGGCCGGGCCA